This 497-nucleotide ribosomal RNA is filed under the name uncultured bacterium. RNAcentral's name for it is "partial 16S ribosomal RNA". It matches the Rfam family "Bacterial small subunit ribosomal RNA", at positions 28 to 507 of the family's 1533-position model. The record is from RNAcentral.
GAUGAACGCUGGCGGCGUGCCUAAUACAUGCAAGUCGAGCGAACAGACGAGGAGCUUGCUCCUCUGACGUUAGCGGCGGACGGGUGAGUAACACGUGGAUAACCUACCUAUAAGACUGGGAUAACUUCGGGAAACCGGAGCUAAUACCGGAUAAUAUAUUGAACCGCAUGGUUCAAUAGUGAAAGACGGUAUUGCUGUCACUUAUAGAUGGAUCCGCGCCGCAUUAGCUAGUUGGUAAGGUAACGGCUUACCAAGGAAACGAUGCGUAGCCGACCUGAGAGGGUGAUCGGCCACACUGGAACUGAGACACGGUCCAGACUCCUACGGGAGGCAGCAGUAGGGAAUCUUCCGCAAUGGGCGAAAGCCUGACGGAGCAACGCCGCGUGAGUGAUGAAGGUCUUCGGAUCGUAAAACUCUGUUAUUAGGGAAGAACAAAUGUGUAAGUAACUAUGCACGUCUUGACGGUACCUAAUCAGAAAGCCACGGCUAACUACGUG